CUGGUUUUAAGCUUUGUGUAUAUUCCAUAAAAUAUUUGUUUUUAUCACAUAGCCUAGAUUGUAUGUGGGACGUGGGAUGCAAGAAAGCCAUGUCUCUGUGCUGAAGUACACAUUGUUCUGGAUACUAGUACUAUUGUGCAGAUUUUCUUUCAACUACUGGUUUGAGCCAGUGGAAUAAUGCAGAUAAAGCCUCUCAUAGGACCAACAAAGCAGAUCAUGAAAAUUGGUGUGAAAAUUUAUGACUGGCAUGAGCUUUUCCCAAAAGUACAGAAUAACGUUGGUGCAAUAAUGGCAGUAUGGGCUCCUAUAGUAGUUGUGAGUGUUGUUUGUCACACUCACUUCUUGAUAAUAUCUGCACUAGUUAUGGAAGCCCAUCUUAGUUUAAAUUUAUUAAUGACGAACAUUGUAAAAUAUCUUGAACAAAGAAUUAGGGAAGAAGUUAGAAGCUUAGUUUAUAGAUCAACCUGGUCUAGCAUAAAUGCUUGACACAUUAUUUUAUUUCUACUUUACAAGUAUAUUUCAUGGACACAUAGAUAUGGUAUUCUGUAUUCUGUACAAUAUUUGGUGGACUUUAUGGUAUUUUGCAUCACCUUGGUGA
Long non-coding RNA from Humulus lupulus (European hop), 598 nucleotides. RefSeq lists it as uncharacterized. NCBI's taxonomy places the organism in Eukaryota, Viridiplantae, Streptophyta, Magnoliopsida, Rosales, Cannabaceae. The record is from RefSeq and is a predicted model, not a curated record. The transcript has 4 exons.